Molecule: long non-coding RNA, 772 nt
Organism: Ctenopharyngodon idella (grass carp)
Lineage: Eukaryota; Metazoa; Chordata; Actinopteri; Cypriniformes; Xenocyprididae
Exons: 5
Source: RefSeq, a predicted model, not a curated record
UUCACUUUAACGCGGAUAAUUCGGAUUCUUUCUUGUCAUCAAUCUUCAGGUGCCACACACGGUUCAUGUCCAUAAAAAGGGAUGUGUUUGGCGUGUACAGUCAGGGACGUGUGGACAGACAUUGACUGUAAUGAUGGACAGAAUAAGAGAUGUGUUUGGACCGUUACACCCAGAGAUGUGUGGACUGACAUUUGCUGUAAUGAUGGUCAUCUGCUCGAGGAUGGGCAAAAGCAUAACCCCUGCUGGACAUCGUGCUGGAGCUUAGGGGGGACCCCGUGAUCUCCUGCGCCUUCUCCCUCAAACCUCACCUUCAUAUCGCUGAGAUCUGGCUGGGAUCGAACCAGCAACCUCUGAACCCAUGAGGCAGCACUCUUAACCUGACAUGGGCCAGUUUAUUAGUAAUGCAGCAGUUUCCUGUGAAGCCCCAAAUCAAGGUAUUGUAUUAAUAUCACUUCUGUGAUAAAUGACAAAAGAAGCCUGAAUCACCUGACCAUUUUUAGCACAUUCUAUUCAUUUUAAAUAAUUGUUUCUACAGUAUAUAAGCAAUGUCUUAAUAUUUUUUUGUUGUUUUGUUGUUAAAUAACGCUUCAUUACAACAAGCUUUGAAACAUUUCAGUGAUUCGCCGCUAGGUGGCGUUGAUCUGGUGAACCACUAACCAGAUUCUAAUAUAUGGUUUUAACUGAUCUCAGGUCAGUUUUAUAAUUUAGCUUCAGUUUUAAAGAUGAACUUGUCACAAAAUAAUGGAAAAAUAGAGAGGAAUAGUUGAUUGAA